UAGGAAUCUGCCUGGUAGUGGGGGACAACGUUUCCUUAAGGAACGCUAAUACCGCAUACGUCCUACGGGAGAAAGCAGGGGACCUUCGGGCCUUGCGCUAUCAGAUGAGCCUAGGUCGGAUUAGCUAGUUGGUGAGGUAAUGGCUCACCAAGGCGACGAUCCGUAACUGGUCUGAGAGGAUGAUCAGUCACACUGGAACUGAGACACGGUCCAGACUCCUACGGGAGGCAGCAGUGGGGAAUAUUGGACAAUGGGCGAAAGCCUGAUCCAGCCAUGCCGCGUGUGUGAAGAAGGUCUUCGGAUUGUAAAGCACUUUAAGUUGGGAGGAAGGGCAGUAAAUUAAUACUUUGCUGUUUUGACGUUACCGACAGAAUAAGCACCGGCUAACUCUGUGCCAGCAGCCGCGGUAAUACAGAGGGUGCAAGCGUUAAUCGGAAUUACUGGGCGUAAAGCGCGCGUAGGUGGUUCGUUAAGUUGGAUGUGAAAUCCCCGGGCUCAACCUGGGAACUGCAUUCAAAACUGUCGAGCUAGAGUAUGGUAGAGGGUGGUGGAAUUUCCUGUGUAGCGGUGGAAAUGCCGUAGGAUAUAGGGAAAGGAACACCAGUGGGCGAAGGCCGACCACCUGGGACUGAAUACUGACACUGAAGGUGCGGAAAGCGUGGGGGAGCAAACAGGGAUUAGAUACCCCUGGGUAG
RNAcentral lists this ribosomal RNA (695 nucleotides) under bacterium. Its description in RNAcentral is "bacterial SSU rRNA". It matches the Rfam family "Bacterial small subunit ribosomal RNA", at positions 118 to 793 of the family's 1533-position model. The record is from RNAcentral.